AUAUUUACUACUUUUUCAGUCGCCCCCCUCUCUUUUAUAUUAAUGACACACUGGUGGUAUUCGUACAAGUUGUACCACAGGUGUGUCACCUUGUACUAUGCUGGUACAACGUGGAAAAUCAUGGUACAAUAUGUACUAGGGUACAUAACCGUGGUAUACCACGGUCCUUGUACAUCAGUGUGUCUUUAGUAUUACGCUUUUUCUGUAUACCUAAUAUUAUAUGAGCUGUCACAAAAUCUUGAACCCCUCCUUCCCCAAACUUUGAUCGUUAUUUUAGAAUGGCAUCUUUAAGUUAUUUAUUCAAUAUAAGAGAAAGCGGGGCAAGAUCACCAUAUGGGACAAGACAGCCAACGUUGAUGAUGACUUAACCCAUUCUUCGAAGAUGUCGAUCAGACGCUGGACUGUUUCACAGACAGAGAAUUGGAAAAUUGUUCUUAAAGUGGAAAGUUAUACUUCUUAUAAGAUGGAUGAUAACAAUUAUGGAACUUCAAGGCAUGUGUGCUGUAUGCGUGGACAUAAAUAUGCGAGAUGUAGUUAUUCAGAAAUGGUGUUGAAAGUGGACGAUUUGACCAUCUAUUCCCAUAGGUUUACCAGAAAACACGCAGUCAUCAAACAAGCCAUAGGCUUAAGCAUCGGCUGCUGGGAAUGUUUUGUCUCGUUUCUCACUAGUUGGAGUUGUAUAUGAUUGUUUUUGUUACUUAUAUUAUCGCAAAUUCAUCACAACGGUCACUUUUAUGCUGAAAAUAAAUAUAACGGAAUUUUCAGGAUUAGGAUAAUAAUAAAUACACAUAUUACAUUUAUUUUCGUCAUUUUUCUUUUCUUUCGAAGCAAAACAAAAAAUCAUACUGCAGAAUCCGUCUACAUUAAAAAAGUAAAACGUGGCCGCAAAGUAUACUUUGUCACAAUAACUCAAAGUUAUACUAAGCUCGUUUAUGUGGCACUUAUACGAGAUCGGGGUCAACCAGGCGAAUAGCCAGUUAGCAUGACUUUUAAUCUAUUUAGUAUAGAUUUUUCUGAGAGUGUAAAAGGACUAUGCAACUGAAAAACGCACAUCGACAACCUAACUUGUUCUUGAAAUAUUGAUUUUAGGAUAGUUUAGUUGAAAUUCGAAUUUUCUUAUAAUUUCGUAGUUACAUAAUUUAAGGUUUGAGGCCAAAAUUACUAUGUAAUUUUACAGCACAUUGAUAUUUACCAAGGUUUUUAUAUCACUAUAGCCUAUCUACCUUAUUAAUUAAAGGAGUUUCACAGUAAUUAUGAUUGAUAGGAUAUAAAUCUUUGGAUAUAUGUCGACUUGGGGCGGUAUUGCCAACUAUAUUAGGAACAAGAUCUCCAAGAUAAAAAAUCGCCUAACUCUUAAAUGCAGUUAAAAAAUCAUCAAAAUAGUUUUUGCCUGAAUCAGAGAUGUUUUCAACAACGUUUCUUUCAAUCCUGUCCACUUUUAAUGGUGAAAAUGACCAUUUUUAAGUAUCUUCAUUUUAAGUGUAUUCUAACACAUCCAACCUCGUGGAGAGUAAAGAUUCAAAAAUAAAGCGUGAGGCAAGAUAGGUAUGACGAUCAGAGCAGUCAUUCAAGAAAUCAGCCACUUAGCUGGACUUAUAUAAGUAGAAAUAUGCAAACACGGGCUAUAUUUCUCGGCAUAACUGUCCCGCAAAAAUAUUUCCAUGAUUUACGCCGUAAAUUAUAUUUAUAUAUUCAAAAAUUGAGGGUGGUGUAAGAUGCGCGGCUACAAAGCAAGACCAUGCAUGCUGAGGGUGGCUGGGUUCGAUUCCCGGUGCCGGUCUAGACAAUUUUCGUAGAAGUGCUUAAUGAACACUAAGCUGCGAGCCGGCAAUGUCCCAGUGAAGAAAAAGAAGAUUCAAAAUUUGAAUGAUUUCAAUAGAAUAGAACUCUUCCAUUAGUCUAGUGAUGUGAACUCAUUAAAUUCCUUACCCGCUAGAAGCCAUAAAUGAAAAUUGCAGUUUUAUUUCACAUGCGAUUUUUUUCGAAUUUGGUAUAAGUAUGCGUAGAACGGCAGUAUAGGCAUCGUAAAAACACCUUUUUAAAACCAGGACAUCUUUAGUAAUGUUACAGUUAUAGUUAUAUUUAUUUCCCGAGUUUUACAUUUUAUAACUGUCAAAGAUAUAAAACAAGAAAUGCAUCUUCAGUAGCGUUAUAAGGUGCACAUGUUUUCUACUGGAAAACGAAAAAAUGAUCGUUCAAGGCCAAUUCAAAUGUCAAACUGUUAUGAUGUCGAUGAAACAGUAUUUUUGUAGCUGAUGACGUCAUCUUCUAUUGUUUGGAACGAAAUAAAAUAAAACUCGAGUAAAUUCUGUUGCAAAUUCGUGCAAAAAUACAACUGAGCAGUAUUCCAGUUAUAAAUUUUUCAACGAAACUGUUCGAACUUUUAAAACUAUAACUAUAUAUAAUAACUAUAUUUUUAACUAUAACUAUAAUAAUUUUUAUAAACUAUAUAUUUUUAAAACUAUAAACUAUAAACUAUAACUAUUUUUUCUAAUGAUGGUACUCUGGGCGACGAAUGAAAAGAAUGCAGCUUGAUCGAGACUUCUGAUUUAUUGCCUCCGAGAGGCAGCGUGCCAGAUCGGAGGUUACUUUUGAGACACUGUACAAUGCUGAGACACUGGGUCUUAGUAUGGCAGGACAAUUAUUAAAUAAUGUUACAACAAGGGAAUCAAUAUUCGAGCAACGCCUAACAAUAUACUCUUUGCCAUCAACAGAGUUUGUUACUGACAAACGCACCUAGCGACAAACCUUUAUCAGAACCCGAACACAAUAUGACAAGGAUCAUUUGUCCUGCAUACUCUGAUAUUUCCCAAAAUACGAUGCUAAUUUUGUUAUCAUUGUUCGAUUCUCAAAUAUUUCCAUAAAACCAGAAACUGUGAUAGCAUAAAACCGAAAUUUGCUCUAGAAAUGAUACAAAAUAACGGGAUGAAAAGUUAGCAACAAGAUUGUCUUCUUUUUUGUUGCUGACAAAAAUUUUCGGAUCUUUGUCAUUAUUAUCUCGGACAAAAACAAAGCUAUAUCGUUGGUUCUCAUUUGUUGCUUGUUUCGCAUGCGUAUUCCAAAAAAAAUUGAUUCCCUGGUUACAACUAUUGGGGACGUGUGCACAAACAUUCAAAUUUAAAUUCUAAUUGGACUUACAACGCGCCAACUGCUACGCACAUAACGCGAGAGCAAUUGGCGCGAUAACAGAGAACAACGAAAAAUACACAUGAGUAGCAGCUCACACGCUGCACUGUUGGGCUUCAACAGCAGCUACGACGGUGAGCGCAGUUCGUGAUCGAACAUACUGCCCUCCAAAACGAAUGUUUUUCAAUUCCUCUUUGCGGUCGGCUAGGGCUGCUGUUGUCGAUCGUUUUAUGCACCGUAACACACCAGUCAAGCAAUUUGACGAACAUUGACUCCGCCCACAAGAAAACGCUUCGGUUGCUGCUUUGUUUGAACGUGUGUGAAGUUGUUCGAAAAAACAAUUGACAGUUGGCGGCUCGAUUGGAAAAAAUUAAAACGGUUUGAUUUUGGUUUGAGUUGUCGGGGGUGGAGUCAAGGUUCGCCGAACAUGUUUGAGCAUUUGUAGUGAAGUUGCACAAACCCCUAUAUAUUUUUUGAUGUUUGGUGCUCAAGUUGGCGCUUCGGUCGUUCGUGUGUGAUAUUGUUGGUCGAAUUAAUUGAUUGUUCGUGCCGUUGUUGGUAAAACAUGAUGGAUGUUGGAAUAAACGAAAGGUGGAGUAAAUGUUAGUCAAACUGCUUGACCGUGUGUACGUUCCAUUAUUGCUUUUAGCUCCUGGUAGUGCGAUCAGUUUUGUGCACACGAAAUGGGUUGAAUAGGUUGAUGGUUGAUGCAGGGCGGGUGCCGGAAUGCUGAUGGAUGUUGUGAACGGUGAUGUUGACUUACGGAACAGAUCAAUAAGUUGAUUCGGGUGGUUCAGCUGAUGCAUCCUCCGGUCACAACAAUUUGGCGGUUCUACCAAUCGAAUUUGACGCAGACGGUCCGAUGACGACUUUAACAAUGUGGUGAUGCGGCGCUAUGGCCAACGGAACUCGACGCUGUGGUCCACGACAAUGACGCUACGGCCGGAAAGGUUGACGCGGAUGGUCCAAAAUGCCGCUACGGCCGGAAGGUGACACGGAUAGUUUAAAAUGGCGCUACGGCCGGAAGGUUGACGCUAACGGUGCAAAGGGCGCUACGACCGAAAGGUGACGCGGAUGGUCCAAAAUGGCACUACGGCCGGAAGAUGACGCGGAUGGUCCAAAAUGGCGCUACGGCCGGAAGGUGACGCGGGUGGUCCAAAAUGGCGCUACGGCCGGAAGGUGACGCGGAUGGUCCAAAAUGGCGCUACGGCCGGGAAGGUUGACGCUGCGGUCCGCAAAUAGCCCUGUGCCUGCCAUGGUGACAGUAUCGUGAUGGCUUUCUUUCCGUCCAAUCAAAGUACGCACUGGCUGGAAGGCAACAGUCCGAUUCGAUCGCUGCGAGUCCAGACUGCGAAGCGAUGGUUGAACUGAUCGGUUGAUGCUUCCUAACCGACGGGUUGGAGUGCAGUCCACCAGCGGUUGCUUCUAUAGUUGUCCAAGAAUCCUCCAAGUACCAUCCUGAUCACGGCACCAAUUUUUCGUCCAGGGUGGGACGACCCUACGUUGUGUUCUUUUUUCUAAUGGUAAUACUCUGGGCGACGAAUGAAAAGAAUGCUGCAUGAUCGAGACUUCUGAUUUAUUGCCUCCGAGAGGCAGCGUGCCAGCUCGGAGGUUACUUCUGAGACACUGUACAUCACAUGGUUUGAGGAGUCGCCUUUUAUAGGCGACUCUUAGUAUGGCAGGACAAUUAUAUAAUAAUGUUACAACUAUUGGGGACGUGUGCACAAUCAUUCAAAUUUAAAUUCUAAUUGGACUACCAGCGCGCCAACUGCUACGCACAUAACGCGAGCAAUUGGCGCGAGAACAGAGAACAACGAAAAAUACACAUUGGGCUUCAACAGCAGCUACGACGGUGAGCGCGGUUCGUGAUCGAACAACGUCAUCAAUCAGUUUUAAUUGAUACUUAUGUUAAAGACAGGUAAUGGACAAAUCAGCAGAAUUAGAAGGAGUUUCACUAUUUUACAAGGAUUACCGCUGAGGUUGGCCAUCUUGCACCACUUUCCCCUAAUUCCUUUGUGAUCUUGAUUUUAAAUGCUAACGAGUUAUGAUCGAGUUUUGAAUACGUAAUAUAUACUGAAAUAUCUUCGUUCUCAAGAGACGGACAGUCGUUGCGAAGAACGAGCAGCAGGCUUUGCCAAGGCUAAGGACAUUGAUGGAUUGAUAAACGGAUCAAGUUUUUAAUCAGGCAUUGCAAACCAUCCCAUCAUUCUAUCUUUUGAAGAAAGAGGUAGUGAUGAAAUGAUGGGAUAACGAUCAUAGUUAUCUAUCUGCUCAGUAAACAAAGUGCAAUGUUCGUCAUGCAGACACAUAUUUUCACAGCUUUUGUUGUAGCAACAACUUCGCUGGCUAUCCGGAUCAUCAUCAAACACAAAAAUGAUUUUUUCAGAGUGCUCUGGAUAGGGGUAAUAUCUUUGUAGAAGCAAAGAUAUUGUACCGCCCAUAAAAAAAUCUACGUGUUGCUUAUUUUUGGUCACAACGAAAAAUAAUCGCCCGAUAGUCGCUUAAGAAAAACAUACCUGCAGAA
This is a long non-coding RNA of Armigeres subalbatus, 5650 nucleotides long. RefSeq lists it as uncharacterized. The record is from RefSeq and is a predicted model, not a curated record. NCBI's taxonomy places the organism in Eukaryota, Metazoa, Arthropoda, Insecta, Diptera, Culicidae. The transcript has 3 exons.